Molecule: long non-coding RNA, 1787 nt
Organism: Vigna angularis (adzuki bean)
Lineage: Eukaryota; Viridiplantae; Streptophyta; Magnoliopsida; Fabales; Fabaceae
Exons: 4
Source: RefSeq, a predicted model, not a curated record
UCCCUCUCCCCUGCCUUCAUCAAAAUCUUCACCUGCUACGUGUUCGUGGAGCAUCUCUCCCCGCUGUUUUCAUCAAAUUUUCUGUCAAACCCCUUCCCUACAUCGCAAUCUUUCCCCUCUGCUUCGUGUUCAUUUGUGCUUUGUGCCUUCCCCUGCUUGGGCUGAGCGUCGAGGUCGAUGCGGCAAGGUCCAUGCGGCAAGGUCGAGGCAGCGAGGACUCUGUUGAGGCGAUUUUUAUCACUCCCGUCUCCAACCCCUCAAACUCAAAUCCUCUUUGGUCUUGCACGCUGGUGGAAAAUUUGGUGGUGCCAACAGUGGGUACUCUGUCUCAGGAGGAAAUGAAAGCUUAGAGAGAAAGGGUACUUGUUUUCUAGGGCACUUUUGUGGUCAUCACAUGCAUGUCUGCUUUUCUUCUUCACUGUUCCUUUGAAGUCCCCUUAUAAUCAACAAAAACAAGUUGGUGGAACUGACCAAGUCGGAAAAAAGGUUAGUAAAUGGUUAAAGGGUUAGUAAACUAAACAAGUUCAGCAAAAACAAUGUUAGUAAAGUUAGUAACUAACUGAAACAACUCAACAAACAUAUGUAAAAAAAAUUAGUAAUGUUAGCACUGACAAAAUCACCCAAAAAGUCAGCAAAAAAAAAUAGUAUAGCUAGUUAGUAAAACUGAAUUGCUUCAGCAAAUCAAAGCUAGUGACUCAAGCAAAGAAAGGAAGAAACUAGAGCUACAAAUCUGCUAUUAACGUUAGCAUGAGUAAACUGGUGCGGAAACUGCAGUGAUUAAAUCCUGUCAGCACAUACCAACAAAAACAACGUUAGAAGCAAUUAAAAAAGAAUGUUAGUAAUGUUAGUAAGCUGAGAUAACUCAGUAAAAACUGUCAAACACAACAAAGUUAGCACAAAAAUUAGUAAACUGAUACUAGCACAAACUUGAGAACCAAAUUUGAGAACUUGAAAACAGUAAUUGAACUCAACUUCGCAAAAAGAAAUAAAAUUUGAACCUACAACUAGCUAUGGCUAAACAUAGAAGAUUAGUUAGAAACAUUAGUUAGUAAAUUGUAUCAGCAAAAUAGAAAACAAAGCCCGAACAAGGUUAGAAGAGUUAGUGCAAAAGUUAGUAAAAGCAGCAAAAAUUGUUAGUUAGUAGAAGAUGGUGAAGUAUUCGUUUGGGAGGGAGAGAGGUUCGCUUACGUUAAGCUGUGAUGUGUGGAGAAUGGAUUUUGGUGGUUUUGCAUGGAGGUUGGACGUUAAAACUGCUUUGAGAUUGGGUUACUGAUUCCAGAUAUCAUACAAAGACAUCGCUUUUAAUCCCAAUCGAACACUUUUCGUUGAAGUGCUCAGAACUGUGAAUAUAUGAAUCUAUAUAUAUAACUCCUGAGGCCAGCUUGCAUGACUGUAAAUUGAUGCAUGUAUCUCGUCCUUUUGUUCCUUAGACGAUUUCCCAGUUUGAGUUUGAGCUUUAAUCACUAUCUUGCAACAUACCCUUCUGCCAAGUAAAAGUAUUAUGUUGCUUCCAUCUCUUUAUUUCAUGGAUUGAAUUUUGUUGUUUGAGAUGGUGCUAGGUAAGGUGGGAAAAAAAUGGCGAAAAAUGUGUUCUGGGGGAGAUGGUCGCAACCCUAAUCAAUGUCACUUGAGAUACCAUUAACCUAUGUAACUCUGGCGUCUGCUGAUUGCAGCACGUUGUUGAGUCCAAGCCAAACGUGUAAAAUUUUACUUUUCCAGCAUCUCAUUUGGAUUUUACUCUUUCUCUUUCAAAAUCAAGAAUUAAUUUAAAUACACUUUAUAAGGCA